RNAcentral lists this long non-coding RNA (5141 nucleotides) under Aquilegia coerulea. RNAcentral describes it as "long non-coding RNA (ACOE_LNC002190)". Lineage: Eukaryota; Viridiplantae; Streptophyta; Magnoliopsida; Ranunculales; Ranunculaceae. The record is from RNAcentral.
AAACAUCCAAAAACUCGAACAACUCUCUACAAACCAUAUCUCAUUUACAUAUAUAACUGUCAAUAUACAACUCUGCAUUACUUCUACAAAUACAUACUAGUAAUAUGUACAAAUACCAGUAUAUCAAGAGAGAUAUAAACAUGUUGUGCGCUCAUACAAAAAUAUCAUCUCUCUCAACAAAAGAUCAAAAUGGUUAUACACCAACAGACCGACCAUAUUAUCUACACCAGAAACUGUCCAAACUAAAUAAUGCUAGUGUUGUUCCUGAUCAUCACCAUCAAAAUCCUGAAGCUCAAUAUCUACGUUCCGAGACCAAAAAACGUACCCAACUGUGCAAAAACAACACAACUUGGCUCAACACAAAGCUGGAAUGAGUACUAUACUACUAAAGAAAACAACAAUUCAUUGGUCUCUUAACAUACAUGGCAGGACUGUAGUUCCUCACAACCAGGCAAUUCAGUUUCCCACCAUGUAUCACAUAUCCCAAAUAAAUCAAUAAUGUAAAAUAAAACCAAAUUUACCAUCACCUCUGCGAUCUGGUAGGGUAGGCAUCACCCUGCAAGAAAUUAUUAAGAGCCUACCCUCCUGCAAAAGAUAUCGUAAUAUUUACAGGAAUAAAGAAUAUAUUAACCAACUCGACGUAAAUAAAGAGAUUCCAUAAACUUAUCUAAUACCAACAGACAAGAAUUUAAACUUUAACAUGAAAGCGCGCAAACAAGCACAACCAUAGCAUCACGAAACCCAUAACUAGCCAGACUCCACGAAAGCCGCUCCUACACACAUUUCCAACUUACCCAGAUAUCCCUGGGGCCCUCACAUAUACCCAAUGACCACUUCAGGCUAGUAGACUGAUUCCCUUGAGGAGACUUAGGCAAACCAUCAAUGAAGUCCAUUGUAAUGUGUUCCCACUUCCACAUAGGAACCUCAAGCGGUUGUAACAAACCUGACGGCUUUUGAUGUUCAACUUUCACUUGUUGACAUGUAACACACUGCCCUACAUAUUCAACAACAUCUCUUUUCAUUCUUUCCCACCAAAAUGUCUGCCUCAGAUCAUGAUACAUUUUUGUUCCCCCUGGAUGAAUGAUGAAACGAGAGCGGUGUGCUUCAUAAAGAAUUUCCCUUUUCAGUUCAUCAUUAUCUGGUACGCACAAGCAGCCAUUAAACCUCGAUCCCCCAUCACAAUCUAUAGACCAUUCAGUAGGACAAUCAUCCAAAAGAUCAACGACCAGAUCAUCAAGUCGACUUAGCAAUUUAGGAUUAGCAAGUUGUCCAUUAAUUACCCGAGUAAUCAAAGAAGGGCGCACGGUCAAAACACCAAUAUAUACGCUGCCUCGUUACCAUGUACCGGUUGUUUAUCAUAGGCUGUAAGUGUCUCUAAUUGUUUCCACUCAUUCAUCAUCAUAAUAGCUAAUUCUCCAUGUUGUCGACUCAAGGCAUCCGCAACCACAUUCGCUUUGCCAGGAUGAUAUAAGAUCUGGAAAUCAUAGCAACUAAUGAAUUCAACCCACCUUUGCUGCCUUGUAUUCAGAUCUUUUUGAGAAAACAAAUAUUUCAAACUCUUGUGGUCUGUGUACAUAUCAAACUUUUCACCAUACAGAUAAUACCCCCAUAUCUCCUUUCAUGAGGCUUCAAUUGACAAGAAGCAUAUGCAACAACCUUUUGCUCCUUCAUUAAAACACAACCCAAACCAGUCCCACAUGCAUCAGUAUACACCACCAACUUCCCGCCUCUUAUUGGAAUAACCAAAAUAGGAGCAGCCGUCAACCGUCUUUUCAACUCUUGAAAAGACCUCUCACAAUUUUCAGUCCAUAAGAAUUUAACAUAUUUCUUUGUUAAUUGGGUUAAUGGAGCUGCAAGAAUAGAGAAUUUCUCGAUAAAGCGCCUAUAGUAACCUGCCAAACCUAGGAAACUCCGAAUCUCGGUAACUGUAGUAGGCCGCUUCCAAUCUUGUACAACUACAACUUUCUCUGGGUCUACACCAAUGCCCUUACAAGAUAUAAUAUGGCCUAAGAAUCUCACUUCUUUGUCCCUAAAGUGGCAUUUACUGAACUUGGCAUAUAAUUUCUGCUCCCUAAGCGUUUGCAAGACAAUCCUCAAGUGGUUCAUAUGCUCCUCUUGAUUCCGAGAAUACACCAGGAUGUCGUCAAUGAAAACUAUUACAAAUCGAUCAAGAUAUGGGCAGAAGAUUCGAUUCAUUAAUUCCAUAAAGAAAGCUGGAGCAUUGGUUAAUCCAAAUGGCAUGACUGGGUACUCAUACAGGCCAUAUCGAGUUCUAAAUGUAGUCAAAGGUAUACUAUUCUCCUCAACACCCAUUUGAUGAUACCCCGUCCUCAAGUCAAACUCAGAGAACACAAUUGCACGCCUUAGUUGAUCUAGAAGAUCAUCGAUACGUGGUAAGGGAUACUUGUUCUUUAUAGCGACGUUAUUCAGUUCACGAUAAUCAAUACACAUUCUAAGGGUACCAUCCUUCUUAGAGACAAAAAUGGCAGGUACUCCCCAUGGCGAGUUACUCGGCCAAAUAAAUCCCUUCUUGAGCAUUUUGUUUAGUUGGUUUUUCAUCUCUUCAAGCUCUUUGCGAGCCAUUCUAUAUGCCGCCCUUGAAAUAGGCGCAGUUCCAGGAAUAAGAUCACUAUGAAACUCAACCUCUCGCUUAAGAGGAAGCCUUGAAAUCUCCUCAAAUACAUCAGGGAACUCACAAACAACCUCAAUAUCAACAAGGUCCUUUUUAGGGAUCUCCAAAGAACACAAGAAACUCGUCAGUACGCAGUCUCUGGGAUUCACAAAAACAUGAGUCAACCUUGGCCUCCCAAGAAUCCUUAAGACAAUUAAAUUAGCGGCACAAUCCAAAACAGCAUAGUUUUUUCUUAACCAAUUCAUCCCUAAGAUAAGAUGAAAUCCUUUGAAACCAAGUACAACCAAGUCCACAGUAAAUACACAACGUGCAAAUUGAAAUUGAAAAUCUUUACACUGAUCAUACAAAAUUAUACAAAGUAGUAGAACCCCCAGUAGGCGUUUGUACACACAAAGGCAUCACUAAGGAAUUGUCGUAAGACGCUUCCUCUCUACUAACUGGCGAGAAAUAAAAGAAUACGAGGCACCCGUAUCAAAUAGCACACAAAACUAGAACUAUCUGAAAAUAUGGUACCUUGUAAUGCAUCUUGAUCUGUAUAGACAACAAAAAUCUGCGCUGGAACAUGUCCACCAGGUUUGCCUCUCUGAAUUUUCUGCCCCCGCUUCUUUUGUGGACAAUUCUGAGCUCUAUGACCAAUCUGUCGGCAUUCCCAACAAGGACCCUGAAAUGGUUGAGGUGUGGCUUCCAUCGCUGCUACUAAAGGUGGUGCUGGUAAUGGUGCAUAUGCAGGACGAUAUUCUAUUAUUUUCUCAGUCAUUGCUGGUUCUUGGUAACCUCCCUUAGGUUUAUGCGGAUUAGGAUCAUAAGGUUCAUACCGCUCUUUAUCUUUCUGGUCACCAUGAGAUUUCCACCCUCGAGAAGAGUCGCCAGAUUUUUCAUUACCUUUAAACUUCUUAUGUUCUUUCUCCUUUUCCUCGAGCAUCAAUGCAAUAUCCAGAACAUUUUCAAAGGACUCUCUGAAGAAUGGAAGAAUUGCUCGAGAGAUAAAAUAGUUCAAUCCACGAAUGAACUUCUCAUUCUUCCUUUUCUCCGUAUCAAUCAGAUUAGGAGCAAAGCGAGACAACUCAUUAAAGCAAGCGACAUAAGCACUAACUGACAUAUUCCCUUGCACCAAACGAGCAAACUCUUCAGCCAACUGGGAUUGUACAGCAUAUGGAAUAAACUUACUGAAAACCUGCUCUUUGAAAUGUUCCCAUCUGAAUGUAGCUAAAGGCAAACUCGUCUUAAUCGACCUCAACCAUAGUAAAGCUGAACCUGUCAGUUGAUGUGCUGCCAACUCAAAUUUCUAUACCUCUGAUAAGGUCAUACGCUCGAAAAUAUUCUCACACUCCUCUAACCACUUGUAGGCGACAAUCGCAAUUUCAACCUCAUCUCCACUGAAUUUCUGACCUCCCAAUCCUUUGAAAUCUUUAUUACGUUUUGCAAAGGGAUCGCCACUAGUUCCAACUCGAUCAUCAUGUAAAGAUUGCACCAACUGUUGACGAUCCUCUUGCAUAGACUUAAUAAACUGCAUAAGCACAUCCCUUGGAAUCGCACCAGUAGCAGUCCCACUACUCUGAGGUAUUUCACCUCCUCCAGCCAUAACCUUCAAAACCAAUGAAGCAUAUAUCAAUAUCUCCCCAACUUAAUCCAAUAAUAUUGAAAUCCAUCAAACAAUGCACUUAAUCAUCAAUAUCAUAUGUUAGCGGUCAAAAUCUCAGAUAGCACAAAAUCUCAAACAAACCCAUUUGCCACAUUCCGAGAAUCGCUUAGACCUUCUCGGCCUAAUUCAACCUAAAGCUCUGAUACCAAUCUGUCACACCCCAAAUUUAAGAACAAUUAUGUGCACCCGACAUGUGGUGCAAUAACUUGUCACAAAACUCGAGGCAUGAAGGUAACGACAACUAAGUCCAGACUGGAGAAGUAAAUUAUACAAAGUUGUAGGUAACCCAAAAAAGACGGAAUAAAACAUCCAAAAACUCGAACAACUCUCUACAAACCAUAUCUCAUUUACAUAUAUAUAACUGUCAAUGUACAACUCUGCAUUACUUCUCCAAAUACAUACUAGUAAUAUGUACAAAUACCAGUACAUCAAGAGAGAUAUAAACAUGUUGCGCGCUCAUACAAAAAUACCAUCUCUCUCAACAAAAGAUCAAAAUGGUAAUACACCAACAGACCGACCAUAUUAUCUACACCAGAAACCGUCCAAACUAAAGAACGCUAGUGCUGCUCCUGAUCAUCACCAUCAAAAUCCUGAAGCUCAACAUCUACGUUCUGAGACCAAAGAACGUACCCAACCGUGCAAAAACAACACAACUUGGGUCAGCACAAAGCUGGAAUAUGUACUAUACUACUAAAGAAAACAACAAUUCAUUGGUCUCUUAACAUACAUGGCAGGACUGUAGUUCCUCACAACCAGGCAAUUUAGUUUCCCACCAUGUAUCACAUAUCAAUAAUGUAAAAUAAAACCAAAUUUACCAUCACCUCUGCGAUCUGGUAGGGUGGUAUCACCCUGCAAGAAAUUAUUAAG